UGAAGCCGGCCGGGAGGUUCGGGCGCCAGGGAGCGCGCGUACAGCGCCACCCCACGGCCAAAGUGGGAUGGGGCCGUAGAGGAGUGUUGCGCAGGCGCUGUCUUCCGCAGUUUUCUCUGGCGGGAGGAAAAGGGAGGGCCUCCCUAAAUGAUUGCCUCUCGCCCAUUUUAUUUGCGCAUUUUCUCCAGGAUGCUUUUCAGGUUGGGAGAAACUUGAGCUUGUUUAAAUGCUGAAGAAAAGACUUACCAGAGAAGAGCUGACAAUUUGGAAGAGGGAAUGGGAGGCCAUCUAGGUCUAGGAUGGUAACUCACCAUCUUGUCCUGCCAGCAUAGCUCCAUGUGGCCCAGGAUGACUGCUUGAACUCCAGCUAUUUUGUCUGAGUUCAGCCAGCAGGAAGGAAGGAGGAAGGGAAAAAGAUGGCACUUCUCGUCCUCUUUUUUUUUUUUUUUUUAAUUAAACAUUUACUUGCAAGCAAUCUUUCCUUUUAAGGAGACUUCCAGAAGUUCCACCUGAUGUUUCUCCUUACAUCUCAUUGGCUAUAAACUAGCCCUAUGGCCACAUUUAGCUGUAGGGAGGUAAGGAAAUGCAGGCUUUGGACUAAGCUCCAGUGUGCCCAGCUAUAGUUUCCGUCACUAAAGAAGGACUGAGACUUGGAUACUAGGAGGUUAUGAAGAGUCUGUGCCACAAAGGGGACUGGGAGGGGCCAGACAGUUUUUUGAGGAAGAAGAGUCUGGAAGGAUUCAAGAUUUGGAGCCCAGCCCACUCCAUUCUAAUCCCAACCCCAUAUACUUUCACCUCUGUGACCUUGAACAAGCCACCUGAGCCUCAGUGUCCUCUGUAAAAUGGGGGUGACAAUCUACUUGGCAGACUGCAAGGAUUAAAUGAGAUGCCGUGGAAAGACCUGCCCUGUGUGAGACAGGGAAAUCUGCUAUGGACAGUUCCCCUUCUCCUCUGGGGACAGAGUGCCGGGGCACCAGGUUGUGACGUGGAUCCUGCUUUCCCCAGGACAGCCCUGUGGUUCACACUGGGGCUUUGCAGUCAAUCCAACAAGCCAGAGGAGGAGCAAAGAUACCACAGCUACUGACCUUGAUAACCACUUAAACAGCCAGAGAGAGCUCCAGGCCCUCUCACCAGAGCCCAGGUGGAAGGGCUGACCUGCAGGCACCAGGGUCCCAGUGCGCUGUGCAGUGUAUACAUGGCCCAGAACAUCAGAUCAUUCUGUGCCCCUGCACCAUGACUCUUCCAAACCCCAGAAUGCAGAGGAAAACCCAGCCGCGCAGCACGGAGGCCAAGAGGGCUGGGCACGGAAGGUCGCAGAGGCCCCGUGUCAUAGGGUCUGCAGCGAGGCUUUCUCUUUUUGCGCUCCAGGCAGCUCUAUUGGUCUCUCGUGCGGCUUCUCGGUGGCUGCCGGGACCCUGGUUUGCAGAUCGCAGCUUUGAAAGAUGACACUAAGGACGCUGAAGAAUGUUUUGAAGGGUAUCCCACCAUCUGCACGCCCACCUUCCUUUUCACCUUCUCCGUUCUGGCUGGGACCCCAGGCCGGUGAACCCUGGCUGCCAAAGGAGAGCGCAGAGACCACCUGGCACCCGGCUCUUUGCCUUUCUGGAUUUUUCCUGGUGCAAAUGUUUUGCCAUGUGGCUGUGUGGUCUUCAUAUUGAUCAUCUUAAUGGAGGUGUCAUAGUCCUUUGACUGGAUACACUCUCAUUUCCAGAUGUUCGCUAAUAAGCUUGUUUCCACUGGGGGGCUGUUACAGAUAGCUCUGCAACAAACAGUCAUUUAUGGGUUUAAAAACUAUUUAUUGAAUUUCUUAGAGAAGCACAAUGAAGUAUAUAGGGGGAGGGGAAUUAUUUGCUUUAUUUUAGCAAAUAGAAAAAAGAAAACGGGAGAGCUGGGGCCAGUGGGACAAAAUCUGUGUAACCUGGGCUGAUGGGCUUACAGGGUUUCUUGGUGCUGCUGUGUCCUUUUUCUGUAUAUGUUUGAGAUCUUUCAUAAUAAAAAAUUUAAAAGUGCAAA
Long non-coding RNA from Mirounga angustirostris (Northern elephant seal), 2013 nucleotides. RefSeq lists it as uncharacterized. The transcript is spliced from 3 exons. The record is from RefSeq and is a predicted model, not a curated record. NCBI's taxonomy places the organism in Eukaryota, Metazoa, Chordata, Mammalia, Carnivora, Phocidae.